Molecule: non-coding RNA, 70 nt
Organism: Dipodomys ordii (Ord's kangaroo rat)
Lineage: Eukaryota; Metazoa; Chordata; Mammalia; Rodentia; Heteromyidae
Source: Rfam
GGGAAUGUGGCUUAGUGGUAGAGUGCUUGCCUAGUAUGCAUGAGGCCCUAAGUUCGAUUCCUUGGUACCA